AGAGUUUGUUCCUGGCUCAGGAUGAACGCUAGCUACAGGCUUAACACAUGCAAGUCGAGGGGCAGCAUGAAAGUUUGCUUGCAAACUUUUGAUGGCGACCGGCGCACGGGUGAGUAACACGUAUCCAACCUGCCUCAUACUCGGGGAUAGCCUUUCGAAAGAAAGAUUAAUACCCGAUGUCAUAGUCCUACCGCAUGAUGGGAUUAUUAAAGAAUUUCGGUAUGGGAUGGGGAUGCGUUCCAUUAGUUAGUUGGCGGGGUAACGGCCCACCAAGACAACGAUGGAUAGGGGUUCUGAGAGGAAGGUCCCCCACAUUGAACUGAGACACGGUCCAAACUCCUACGGGAGGCAGCAGUGAGGAAUAUUGGUCAAUGGACGAGAGUCUGAACCAGCCAAGUAGCGUGAAGGAUGACUGCCCUAUGGGUUGUAAACUUCUUUUAUAUGGGAAUAAAAUGUUCCACGUGUGGGAUUUUGUAUGUACCAUAUGAAUAAGGACCGGCUAACUCCGUGCCAGCAGCCGCGGUAAUACGGAGGAUCCGAGCGUUAUCCGGAUUUAUUGGGUUUAAAGGGAGCGUAGGUGGAUUGUUAAGUCAGUUGUGAAAGUUUGUGGCUCAACCGUAAAAUUGCAGUUGAAACUGGCAGUCUUGAGUACAGUAGAGGUGGGCGGAAUUCGUGGUGUAGCGGUGAAAUGCUUAGAUAUCACGAAGAACUCCGAUUGCGAAGGCAGCUCACUGGACUGCAACUGACACUGAGGCUCGAAAGUGUGGGUAUCAAACAGGAUUAGAUACCCUGGUAGUCCACACAGUAAACGAUGAAUACUCGCUGUUUGCGAUAUACGGCAAGCGGCCAAGCGAAAGCAUUAAGUAUUCCACCUGGGGAGUACGCCGGCAACGGUGAAACUCAAAGGAAUUGACGGGGGCCCGCACAAGCGGAGGAACAUGUGGUUUAAUUCGAUGAUACGCGAGGAACCUUACCCGGGCUUAAAUUGCACCUGAAUAAUGUGGAAACAUGUUAGCCGUAAGGCAGGUGUGAAGGUGCUGCAUGGUUGUCGUCAGCUCGUGCCGUGAGGUGUCGGCUUAAGUGCCAUAACGAGCGCAACCCUUAUCUUCAGUUACUAACAGGUCAUGCUGAGGACUCUGGAGAGACUGCCGUCGUAAGAUGUGAGGAAGGUGGGGAUGACGUCAAAUCAGCACGGCCCUUACGUCCGGGGCUACACACGUGUUACAAUGGGAGGUACAGAAGGCCGCUACCUGGCGACAGGAUGCCAAUCCCCAAAACCUCUCUCAGUUCGGAUCGAAGUCUGCAACCCGACUUCGUGAAGCUGGAUUCGCUAGUAAUCGCGCAUCAGCCAUGGCGCGGUGAAUACGUUCCCGGGCCUUGUACUCACCGCCCGUCA
This 1396-nucleotide ribosomal RNA is filed under the name uncultured bacterium. Its description in RNAcentral is "16S ribosomal RNA". It matches the Rfam family "Bacterial small subunit ribosomal RNA". The record is from RNAcentral.